Molecule: ribosomal RNA, 484 nt
Filed under: uncultured bacterium
Lineage: Bacteria
Description: partial 16S ribosomal RNA
Rfam family: Bacterial small subunit ribosomal RNA
Source: RNAcentral
AUUGAACGCUGGCGGCAGGCCUAACACAUGCAAGUCGAGCGGAUGAGGGGAGCUUGCUCCUGGAUUCAGCGGCGGACGGGUGAGUAAUGCCUAGGAAUCUGCCUGGUAGUGGGGGAUAACGUCCGGAAACGGGCGCUAAUACCUCAUACGUCCUGAGGGAGAAAGUGGGGGAUCUUCGGACCUCACGCUCUCAGAUGAGCCUAGGUCGGAUUAGCUAGUUGGUGGGGUAAAGGCCUACCAAGGCGACGAUCCGUAACUGGUCUGAGAGGAUGAUCAGUCACACUGGAACUGAGACACGGUCCAGACUCCUACGGGAGGCAGCAGUGGGGAAUAUUGGACAAUGGGCGAAAGCCUGAUCCAGCCAUGCCGCGUGUGUGAAGAAGGUCUUCGGAUUGUAAAGCACUUUAAGUUGGGAGGAAGGGCAGUAAGUUAAUACCUUGCUGUUUUGACGUUACCAACAGAAUAAGCACCGGCUAACUUCGUG